This 73-nucleotide transfer RNA is filed under the name Sarcocheilichthys parvus (dwarf gudgeon). Its description in RNAcentral is "tRNA-Asp". It matches the Rfam family "tRNA". Rfam says of the family: Transfer RNA (tRNA) molecules are approximately 80 nucleotides in length. Their secondary structure includes four short double-helical elements and three loops (D, anti-codon, and T loops). Further hydrogen bonds mediate the characteristic L-shaped molecular structure. tRNAs have two regions of fundamental functional importance: the anti-codon, which is responsible for specific mRNA codon recognition, and the 3' end, to which the tRNAs corresponding amino acid is attached (by aminoacyl-tRNA synthetases). tRNAs cope with the degeneracy of the genetic code in two manners: having more than one tRNA (with a specific anti-codon) for a particular amino acid; and 'wobble' base-pairing, i.e. permitting non-standard base-pairing at the 3rd anti-codon position. The record is from RNAcentral. Lineage: Eukaryota; Metazoa; Chordata; Actinopteri; Cypriniformes; Gobionidae.
AAGACAUUAGUAAAAACGUAAAUUAUACCACCUUGUCAAGGUGAAGUUGCAGGUUAAAUUCCUGCAUGUCUUA